GAUGUUGGCUCUUCCUUUCAUAUUGAAGGAGACUUUACUAAGUGCUGGAUAAUUCAUCCACUACCAAGGAACGUGAACUGCAUUUAGACUAUGGUUAGACAAGUU
This 105-nucleotide non-coding RNA is filed under the name Nipponia nippon (crested ibis). RNAcentral describes it as "Eukaryotic large subunit ribosomal RNA". It matches the Rfam family "Eukaryotic large subunit ribosomal RNA", at positions 2880 to 2984 of the family's 3401-position model. The record is from Rfam by way of RNAcentral. Lineage: Eukaryota; Metazoa; Chordata; Aves; Pelecaniformes; Threskiornithidae.